RNAcentral lists this microRNA (23 nucleotides) under Ectocarpus siliculosus. Its description in RNAcentral is "esi-miR8625". The record is from miRBase by way of RNAcentral. Lineage: Eukaryota; Phaeophyceae; Ectocarpales; Ectocarpaceae.
AACCAAGAUGGCCUGGAUUUGCG